UGGCUUCUUGCCUGACCUUUUACCUAUAUCCUCGGUUUGGUUAACCGUGGCUAACCCAAGGUGUAAACAAAACUAUAUGGCAUCAGUGAAAGAAUCAGUAGUACCCUGUAGGCUGUAUUUCUUUUCCUGACGGGGUGAGCUGAGCAGUGUUGGGUAUGGGGACAUGUCUCAUUUUUUACUCAUCUAUAACUUAUUUUGUAUUUUUGUCGAGGAUAAGUAUGCAUUUAGUUUGUUUUACAACUCACAAGUAUUAGUGCAAUCAUGUGAAGGAAAAAGAAAGGGAGGUGAGGGGUGUGAGUUGUGGGGUGGGGUGAGGGGUCUGGGGCCAAGGCUGGAGUCUGGAGGACCCCAGCACCCCAGCAGCUGAGGCUCAAGGGGAGGGGGACAUUCCGUGGGCGCUGGCCUCACCCAGUUAAGCAAGCCACUUAAUCUCCCCAUUUGGCAACUUUGUCCUCUGAACAGCAGGUGGGCUGUCGAGGACUCUCCCUCCUGCUCCUGGUGCCCUGGGCAGACCACCUGGGGCUGGUCAGAAAGGCAGCACCUCAGUCCCCACCAGAGGCCUGACGACCAGAGUCUGCAUUUUAACAAGAUCCAAGUGGUUGGUGCGGACAUUCAAGUUUGAGAAGCACCAGGCUGAAUGACAUGGAGGAUUUAGAACACCUAGUGGAGCGGGAGCAUGGACAAAGGUCAGCUCCCCCCUCUUCCCUUCCCUGAGCCUCCUCCCACACUCUCUUUGGGAAACUUUUUGCUCUGGAGAGAGGGAUUGGGUUAGGUUAGCAGGGGCUCACAUUCUGAUGGCGUUGCCUGUAUUCUGUUUCCUUAUGACCAUGACGUGGAAUAGACCACAAAGAUUCUUAUCCUGGUUCACAGAUGGAAGAAUGUGGCCCGAGGGAGUCCAGCAAUUGGUCCUAAGGUCAGAGUGAGCCCAAAGGGACACAGGACACAUGUGCAGAUGCCUGAGGCUUCGACCACCAAGCUAAGGUCACCCACGGAAGUGGUCACUCCCUCUCGUGGGGAGUGGGGGGCCCAGGGGGCAGCUGGAACCUAUGAUCAUCAAAAAGGCCAGGGGAGACCAAGGCCAACACCAUUCUCAUACAGUCCUUGUCUGUGUCCCACCGAACCCUCCAGAGACCAGCAAGGAGGGGUCCUGGUUCAGUUGUCUGAAUCCUGCCUUCCAGGCUGAGAACACCUUUUGAUCCUGGGCCAGGCCAGCUUUUUCCUCCCCGAGGAGAGCUCAGACCCUUGCCAUCACCUCCACCCCGAGUCCUGGUUGGUCGCUGCCUACUUAGCUGUACUGGUGGAGGGACCUAGACUGGGGUGACUCACUGUCACACAUCAGCCUAUGGAAGGAUAGUUCACAGUGCACGGCCCGGGGGAUGGUUCUGUGUGCUGCAUUCACAGACGGAGCCAGAAUGUGCUGAGCAGCAUGUGCGUGAGCAACGUGUCCACUCUGCAUGCGUCCGGGAAGUCCUCCCGUCAUCUGUGACCACUUCCUCGCCUGUCUCUUGGGGGUCUGCAGCCUCUACUGGGUAUCUGACCCUUUUCAUCGGCUCCUCUCCAGAAGUCUGUCUUACCAGCCACAGAGCCCAGCCCCGUGACCCCAGGGCCUGUAGACUCUGCCUGAGUUGAGGCCCCUCCCCUCCUGUGCUCAAGACUGGCCGGCUCAGUGCUCAGCCUGGUGUGGGCACAAGGUCUCUUGCUGCAGCUGGGCCCCUUGGCUGACCUUCGCAGCUCCUUCUCUUCGACUGGAGAGGCCUGGCAGUGUGCCUGCGGGGCGGGCCCCACUACUCUCCUGGGCUCCUCCCCUCCAUUCCAGGGCUCUGGCCGUAGCCUGGUCAGGGUCCUUGCUGACUUGUCAGCCAAACCCUGGAGUGAUGGCCCGAGGAGGCCAGUGGGGAAGCCCCAGUGUGUAGGACAGUAGUCCACAGCCAGGGACUGCCUCCCCCCCAUCACUGGGCAAUGCUGGUUGGCCAGUUGGUCUCCGAAUAUCUUCUGGAUGGCCUUCCUGCCAGAUCCCCUUGCCUACUUUCACCAGGAGCCAACCUUCAAGGGAUACUGAAAAGGGCAGUGGAUCGCUGGAGGACUACUCCUGGAAGCCAGCCUGCCUCCCUCUCGGAGCAGGCUCCUCCCCAUCCAGCCUCCUCUUCAUAGGAUCCUGUAACAGAAAAGUUACAUAGAGGUCG
Molecule: long non-coding RNA, 2183 nt
Filed under: Vulpes vulpes (red fox)
Lineage: Eukaryota; Metazoa; Chordata; Mammalia; Carnivora; Canidae
Description: lncRNA (ENSVVUG00000015323.1)
Source: RNAcentral